GACGAACGCUGGCGGCGUGCUUAACACAUGCAAGUCGAACGGAAAGGCCCUGCUCUUGUGGGGUGCUCAAGUGGCGAACGGGUGAGUAACACGUGAGUAACCUGUCCUUUACUUUGGGAUAACUUCAGGAGACUGGGGCUAAUACCGGAUAUGAGCUCCUGCUGCAUGGUGGGGGUUGGAAAGUUUCGGCGGUUGGGGAUGGACUCGCGGCUUAUCAUCUUGUUGGUGGGGUAGUGGCUUACCAAGGCUUUGACGGGUAGCCGGCCUGAGAGGGUGACCGGCCACAUUGGGACUGAGAUACGGCCCAGACUCCUACGGGAGGCAGCAGUGGGGAAUAUUGCACAAUGGGCGGAAGCCUGAUGCAGCAACGCCGCGUGCGGGAUGACGGCCUUCGGGUUGUAAACCGCUUUCGCGUGUGACGAAGAGUGAGUGACGGUAAUGGGUAAAGAAGCACCGGCUAACUACGUG
This 468-nucleotide ribosomal RNA is filed under the name uncultured bacterium. Its description in RNAcentral is "partial 16S ribosomal RNA". It matches the Rfam family "Bacterial small subunit ribosomal RNA", at positions 28 to 507 of the family's 1533-position model. The record is from RNAcentral.